AGAGUUUGAUCCUGGCUCAGAUUGAACGCUGGCGGCAGGCCUAACACAUGCAAGUCGAGCGGUAACAGAUCUAGCUUGCUAGAUGCUGACGAGCGGCGGACGGGUGAGUAACGCGUAGGAAUUUGCCUAGUAGUGGGGGAUAGCCCAGAGAAAUUUGGAUUAAUACCGCAUACACUCUACGGAGAAAAGCAGGGGAUCUUAGGACCUUGCGCUAUUGGAGAAGCCUGCGUCGGAUUAGCUAGUUGGUGGGGUAAAGGCCCACCAAGGCGACGAUCCGUAGCUGGUCUGAGAGGAUGAUCAGCCACACUGGGACUGAGACACGGCUCAGACUCCUACGGGAGGCAGCAGUGGGGAAUAUUGGACAAUGGGCGAAAGCCUGAUCCAGCCAUGCCGCGUGUGUGAAGAAGGCUCUAGGGUUGUAAAGCACUUUAAGCUGGGAGGAAAGGGUGUAAAUUAAUACUUUGCAUCUGUGACGUUACCAGCAGAAUAAGCACCGGCUAACUCCGUGCCAGCAGCCGCGGUAAUACGGAGGGUGCAAGCGUUAAUCGGAAUUACUGGGCGUAAAGCGCGCGUAGGUGGUUGUGUAAGUGGAAUGUGAAAGCCCCGGGCUCAACCUGGGAAUUGCAUACCAAACUGCACAACUAGAGUACGAUAGAGGGGGGUAGAAUUUCAGGUGUAGCGGUGAAAUGCGUAGAGAUCUGAAGGAAUACCAGUGGCGAAGGCGGCCCCCUGGAUUGAUACUGACACUGAGGUGCGAAAGCGUGGGUAGCAAACAGGAUUAGAUACCCUGGUAGUCCAUGCCGUAAACGAUGUCAACUAGCCGUUGGAAUCCUUAGACUUCUUAGUGGCGCAGUUAACGCGAUAAGUCGACCGCCUGGGGAGUACGGCCGCAAGGUUAAAACUCAAAUGAAUUGACGGGGGCCCGCACAAGCGGUGGAGCAUGUGGUUUAAUUCGAUGCAACGCGAAGAACCUUACCAGGUCUUGACAUCCUGCGAACUUUCUAGAGAUAGAUUGGUGCCUUCGGGAACGCAGUGACAGGUGCUGCAUGGCUGUCGUCAGCUCGUGUCGUGAGAUGUUGGGUUAAGUCCCGUAACGAGCGCAACCCUUGUCCUUAGUUGCCAGCAAUUCGGUUGGGGACUCUAAGGAGACUGCCGGUGACAAACCGGAGGAAGGUGGGGACGACGUCAAGUCAUCAUGGCCCUUACGACCUGGGCUACACACGUGCUACAAUGGUCGGUACAGAGGGUUGCUAUACCGCGAGGUGGAGCUAAUCUCAGAAAACUGUUCGUAGUCCGGAUUGCACUCUGCAACUCGAGUGCAUGAAGUCGGAAUCGCUAGUAAUCGCGGAUCAGAAUGUCGCGGUAAAUACGUUCCCGGGCCUUGUACACACCGCCCGUCACACCAUGGGAGUGGGUUGCAAAAGAAGUGGGUAGUCUAGCCUUCGGGAGGGCGCUCACCACUUUGUGAUUCAUGACUGAGGUGAAGUCGUAACAAGGUAGCCCUAGGGAA
RNAcentral lists this ribosomal RNA (1510 nucleotides) under uncultured prokaryote. Its description in RNAcentral is "partial 16S ribosomal RNA". It matches the Rfam family "Bacterial small subunit ribosomal RNA". The record is from RNAcentral.